RNAcentral lists this ribosomal RNA (459 nucleotides) under uncultured bacterium. RNAcentral's name for it is "partial 16S ribosomal RNA". It matches the Rfam family "Bacterial small subunit ribosomal RNA", at positions 338 to 795 of the family's 1533-position model. The record is from RNAcentral.
CCUACGGGAGGCAGCAGUGAGGAAUAUUGGUCAAUGGCCGAGAGGCUGAACCAGCCAAGUCGCGUGAGGGAUGACGGCCCUACGGGUUGUAAACCUCUUUUGUCGGGGAGCAAAGUGAAUCACGUGUGACGCAUUGAGAGUACCCGAAGAAAAAGCAUCGGCUAACUCCGUGCCAGCAGCCGCGGUAAUACGGAGGAUGCGAGCGUUAUCCGGAUUUAUUGGGUUUAAAGGGUGCGCAGGCGGAGGUGCAAGUCAGCGGUCAAAUUGCGGGGCUCAACCCCGUACUGCAGUUGAAACUGCAUGCCUUGAGUACGCGAGAGGUAGGCGGAAUGCGUGGUGUAGCGGUGAAAUGCAUAGAUAUCACGAAGAACUCCGAUUGCGAAGGCAGCAUACCGGCGCGCAACUGACGCUGAUGCACGAAAGCGUGGGUAUCGAACAGGAUUAGAUACCCGAGUAGUC